GUGGAUACGGUUUAGGAUCAUUGUUAUAAUAGGCAAAAUUGAUGGUGAUCGUACAUAGUGGCUAGGAAGGGAUUUAAUGGCUACUGCUGCAGUUAUUGGACUCAGUGGAGGAAAGAGACUCUUGAGUUCAUCAUACCAUUACUUUGAUAUUAUAGAAAAGCUUUCUUAUGGCAGUGAUUUUGGAUCCACACACUACCAAAUUGGAUUUAAGUAUUAUGACUUUUUCACCGUAACCAUGAACAUAUUUCAUUUUAUGUUGAGUAUUGGCAAUUGUUCCUUAUGUUAUCGAAAGAGAGCUUGGAAUGGAAAUAAUUGAGGAACAUACGGUGAUGGAAUAUUCUAAGCAAGAAAUGUGAAAAAUGUGGCCAUGGGGAAGCUACCUAUUAUACUAGACAGAUGAGAUCAGCAGACAAAGGGCAAACUACUUUUUACACAUGUACCGGU
Molecule: long non-coding RNA, 444 nt
Organism: Glycine soja
Lineage: Eukaryota; Viridiplantae; Streptophyta; Magnoliopsida; Fabales; Fabaceae
Exons: 3
Source: RefSeq, a predicted model, not a curated record